GGGCCAGUAGGUUGGUCGUGCCACCGGUACGUACUGGUCUCACUGAUUCCUCCUUCCUGAAGAACCGUAAUGCCAUUAAUUUGGUGUUGCGGGGAAACAGGACUGUUACUUUGAAAAAAUUAGAGUGUUUAAAGCAAGCUAACGCUUGAAUACAUUAGCAUGGAAUAAUGAAAAAGGACGAUCGAUCCUAUUUUGUUGGUUUCUAGGAUUGACGUA
RNAcentral lists this ribosomal RNA (216 nucleotides) under Glomeromycotina sp. RNAcentral describes it as "partial small subunit ribosomal RNA". The stretch from base 40 to 216 matches the Rfam family "Eukaryotic small subunit ribosomal RNA", at positions 686 to 864 of the family's 1831-position model. Lineage: Eukaryota; Fungi; Glomeromycota. The record is from RNAcentral.